GAUGAACGCUGGCGGCGUGCCUAAUACAUGCAAGUCGAGCGAACAGAUGAGGAGCUUGCUCCUCUGACGUUAGCGGCGGACGGGUGAGUAACACGUGGAUAACCUACCUAUAAGACUGGGGUAACUUCGGGAAACCGGCGCUAAUACCGGAUAAUAUAUUGAACCGCAUGGUUCAAUAGUGAAAGACGGUUUUGCUGUCACUUAUCGAUGGAUCCGCGCCGCAUUAGCUAGUUGGUAAGGUACCGGCUUACCAAGGCAACGAUGCGUAGCCGACCUGAGAGGGGGAUCGGCCACACUGGAACGGGGACACCGUCCAGACGCCUACGGGAGGCAGCAGUAGGGAAUCUGCCGCAAUGGGCGGAAGCCUGGCGGAGCAACGCCGCGUGAGAGAUGGAGGUCUUCGGAGCGGAAAAAUCUGUUUUUAGGGAAGAACAAAUGUGUAAGUAACUAUGCACGUCUUGACGGUACCUAAUCAGAAAGCCACGGCUAACUACGUG
This 497-nucleotide ribosomal RNA is filed under the name uncultured bacterium. Its description in RNAcentral is "partial 16S ribosomal RNA". It matches the Rfam family "Bacterial small subunit ribosomal RNA", at positions 28 to 507 of the family's 1533-position model. The record is from RNAcentral.